GACGAACGAUGGCGGCGUGCUUAACACAUGCAAGUCGAGCGGUAAGGCCCUUUCGGGGUACGACGAGCGGCGAACGGGUAGAGUAACACGUGGGUGGACCUGCCCUCCAGCUCUGGGAGUAAGCCUGGGAAACGUAGGGUCGUAAUACUGGAUAUGACUCCACGGUGCAUGUCGUGGGGUGGAAAGCCUUGUGCGGCUGAGGAUGGGCCCGCGGCCUAUCAGCUUGUUGGUGGGGUGAUGGCCUACCAAGGCGACGACGGGUAGCCGGCCUGAGAGGGCGACCGGCCACACUGGGACUGAGACACGGCCCA
Molecule: ribosomal RNA, 311 nt
Filed under: uncultured bacterium
Lineage: Bacteria
Description: bacterial SSU rRNA
Rfam family: Bacterial small subunit ribosomal RNA
Source: RNAcentral